CUCAUUAAAUCAGUUAUGGUCCUUUGGU
Molecule: non-coding RNA, 28 nt
Filed under: Mus musculus (house mouse)
Lineage: Eukaryota; Metazoa; Chordata; Mammalia; Rodentia; Muridae
Source: RNAcentral